GACUUAGUGCAGUGGUUUGAGCAUUGGACUAUGAAUCUGGAGACCAGGGUUGGAUUCCCAGCUCAGCCA
This is a non-coding RNA of Phrynosoma platyrhinos (Desert horned lizard), 69 nucleotides long. NCBI's taxonomy places the organism in Eukaryota, Metazoa, Chordata, Lepidosauria, Squamata, Phrynosomatidae. The record is from the annotation of a GenBank genome assembly.